RNAcentral lists this ribosomal RNA (478 nucleotides) under uncultured bacterium. RNAcentral describes it as "partial 16S ribosomal RNA". It matches the Rfam family "Bacterial small subunit ribosomal RNA", at positions 28 to 523 of the family's 1533-position model. The record is from RNAcentral.
GACGAACGCUGGCGGCGUGCUUAACACAUGCAAGUCGAACGGUAGGGCCCUUCGGGGUACACGAGUGGCGAACGGGUGAGUAACACGUGGGUGAUCUGCCCUGCACUUCGGGAUAAGCCUGGGAAACUGGGUCUAAUACCGGAUAGGACCCUGGGAUGCAUGUCCUGGGGUGGAAAGCUUUUGCGGUGUGGGAUGGGCCCGCGGCCUAUCAGCUUGUUGGUGGGGUGAUGGCCUACCAAGGCGACGACGGGUAGCCGGCCUGAGAGGGUGACCGGCCACACUGGGACUGAGAUACGGCCCAGACUCCUACGGGAGGCAGCAGUGGGGAAUAUUGCACAAUGGGCGCAAGCCUGAUGCAGCGACGCCGCGUGAGGGAUGACGGCCUUCGGGUUGUAAACCUCUUUCAGCUAUGACGAAGCGCAAGUGACGGUAGUAGCAGAAGAAGGACCGGCCAACUACGUGCCAGCCGCCGCAGUAA